AGCAGCCGCGGUAAUUCCAGCUCCAAUAGCGUAUAUUAAAGUUGUUGCAGUUAAAAAGCUCGUAGUUGAAUUUCGAGACCGGUCUACUGGUCGUGCUUUUGUACGUACUGGUAUAAUCGGUUUCUCUCUUCUGACGAACUAUAAUGCCAUUAAUUUGGUGUUUUAGGGAAUCAGGACUGUUACUUUGAAAAAUUAGAGUGUUUAAAGCAGGCUCACGCUUGAAUACAUUAGCAUGGAAUAACGAAAUAGGACGUUUGAUUCUAUUUUGUUGGUUUCUAGGAUCGACGUAAUGAUUAAUAGGGAUAGUUGGGGGCAUUAGCAUUCAAUUGUCAGAGGUGAAAUUCUUGGAUUUAUUGAAGACUAACUACUGCGAAAGCAUUUGCCAAGGAUGUUUUCAUUAAUCAAGAACGAAAGUUAGGGGAUCGAAGACGAUCAGAUACCGUCGUAGUCUUAACCAUAAAUUAUGCCGACUAGGGAUCGGAUGAUGUUAAAUUAAUGACUCA
Molecule: ribosomal RNA, 503 nt
Filed under: uncultured Glomeraceae
Lineage: Eukaryota; Fungi; Glomeromycota; Glomeromycetes; Glomerales; Glomeraceae
Description: SSU rRNA
Rfam family: Eukaryotic small subunit ribosomal RNA
Source: RNAcentral